This 7849-nucleotide long non-coding RNA is filed under the name Gallus gallus (chicken). Its description in RNAcentral is "lncRNA (ENSGALG00010010076.1)". The record is from RNAcentral. Lineage: Eukaryota; Metazoa; Chordata; Aves; Galliformes; Phasianidae.
CCCAUUUCCCCCAUUUCCCCCAUUGCCCCCAUUGCCCCCCAUUGCCCCCCAUUUCCCCCCCAUUGCCCCCCCAUGACCCCCACUGACCCCCGUUGCCCCCCCAGGACGUAUUCAUCCUUCUGACCCCCGGCGGUGGCGGUUUUGGGACCCCCGAGGAGGAUGGGGGCGAAGGGGGGGCGCACAGCCCCAAACCCACCGGGGCCCGCGAGUACUGGGAGGGCACUGAGGCACACUGAGCUGCUAUGGGGCUGCUAUGGGGCAGCUGUGGGGCAGCUGUGGGGCUGCUAUGGGGCACCUAUGGGGUACCUAUGGGGCUGCUAUGGGGCAGCUGGGGGGCUAUGGGGCACCUAUGGGGCUGCUGUGGGGCAGCUGGGGGGCACUGAGGCACACUGAGCUGCUAUGGGGGCUAUGGGGGGCUAUGGGGCAGCUGGGGGGCACCUAUUGGGCUGCUAUGGGGCAGCUGUGGGGCAGCUGUGGGGCACCUAUGGGGCUGCUGGGGGGCUAUGGGGCAGCUGUGGGGCUGCUAUGGGGCACCUAUGGGGCUCCUGGGGGGCUAUGGGGCAGCUGUAGGGCUGCUAUGGGGCAGCUGGGGGGCUAUGGGGCAGCUGGGGGACACCUAUGGGGCUGCUAUGGGGCAGAGCUGUGGUGAUGCUAUGGGGCACCUAUGGGGCUGCUAUGGGGCUGCUGGGGGGCACCUAUGGGGCAGCUGGGGGGCUGCUAUGGGGCACCUGCGGGGCUGCUAUGGGGCAGCUGGGGGGCUAUGGGGCAGCUGGGGGGCACUGAGGCACACUGAGCUGCUAUGGGGCAGCUGUGGGGCUGCUAUGGGGCUGCUGAGCUGUGGUGAUGCUGUGGGGCAGCUAUGGGGCAGCUGUGGGGAACCUAUGGGGCUGCUAUGGGGCAGAGCUGAGGUGAUGCUAUGGGGCAGCAGUGGGGCUGCUAUGGGGCACCUAUGGGGCUGCUAUGGGGCAGCUGGGGGGCACCUAUGGGGCAGCCGUGGGGCUGCUAUGGGGCACCUAUGGGGCUGCUAUGGGGCAGCUGGGGGACGCCUAUGAGGCUGCUAUGGGGCAGCUGUGGGGCUGCUAUGGGGCACCUAUGGGGCUGCUAUGGGGCAGCUGGGGGGCUAUGGGGCAGCUGGGGGGCACCUAUGGGGCAGCUAUGGGGCAGCUAUGGGGCAGAGCUAUGGGGCACCUAUGGGGCUGUUAUGGGGCAGGGAUAAGGGGAAGCUAUGGGGCUGCUAUGGGGCUGGGCUAUGGGGCUGCUAUGGGGCAGCUGGGGGGCAGGGCUAUGGGGCAGAUGUGGGGCUGCUGUGGGGCAGUUAUGGGGCAGGGUUAUGGGGCUGCUAUGGGGCUGGGCUAUGGGGCAGCUAUAGGGUUGCUAUAGGGAAGGGUAAUGGGGCAGCUGUGGGGCUGCUAUGGGGCAGCUGUGGGGUUGCUAUGGGGCUGAGCUAUUGGGUUGCUAUGGGGCAAAGUUAUGAAGAAGUUAUGGGACAGUUAUGGGGCUGGGCUAUGGGGCAGAGCUAUGGGGCAGCGCUGUGGGGCAGGGCUAUAGGGAAGCUAUGGGGUAGUGCUAUGGGGCUGGGCUAUGGGGCAGGGCUGUGGGGCAGGGAUGUGGGGAAGGGAUGUGGGGCAGGGUUAUGGGGCAGAGCUGUGGGGUAGGGCUAUGGGGCAGCGCUUUGGGGCAGUGCUAUGGGGCAGGGCUGUGGGGCAGCGCUAUGGAGCGGGGCUAUGGGGAAGUGCUGUGGGGCAGCUCUAUGGGGCUGGGCUAUGGGGCAGCACUAUGGGACAGUGCUAUGGGGCAGCACUGUGGGGCAGCGCUAUGGGGCAGGGCUAUGGGGCAGAGCUGUGGGGCAGCACUAUGGGACAGUGCUAUGGGGCAGCGCUGUGGGGCAGCACUGUGGGGUAGGGCUAUGGGGAAGAGCUGUGGGGUAGGGCUAUAGGGUAGGGCUAUGGGGCAGCCAUGGGGGGCAGUGCUAUGGGGCAGCACUAUGGGGCAGAGAUCUGGGGCAGCACUAUGGGGCAGAGCUAUAGGGCAGCUCUAUGGGGCAGCACUAUGGAGUGAGGUGGGCACUAUGGGGCAGCCCCACAUACACACUUAUGGGGCAGCCCCACAGCCCCCGCUAUGCAAUCUAUGGGGUAGCCUUCGAUCCACAUACGCACACUUAUGGGGCAGCUCCUGACCCACAUAUGCUAUGGGGCAGCCCCACAGCCCCCACUAUGCAAUCUAUGGGGCGGCCCCUGACCCACAUACGCACACUUAUGGGGCAGCCCCACAACUGCAGCUAUGCAAUCUAUGGGGCAGCUCCUGCCCCACAUACGCACACUUACGGGGCAGCCCCACAACUGCUGCUAUGCAAUCUAUGGGGCAGCCCCACAGCUCGAGGCACUCACUUAUGGGGCAGCCCCAGACCCACAUACGCACACUUAUGGGACAGCUCCUGACCCACAAAUGCUAUGGGGCAGCCCCACAGCCCCCGCUAUGCAAUCUAUGGGGCAGCCCCAGACCCACAUACGCACACUUACAGGGCAGCCCCUGACCCACAUAUGCUAUGGGGCAGCCCCACAACCCCCACUAUGCAAUCUAUGGGGCAGCCCCUGACCCACAUACGCACACUUAUGGGGCAGCCCCACAGCCCCCGCUAUGCAAUCUAUGGGGCAGCCCCUGACCCACAUAUUCACACUUAUGGGGCGGCCCCACAACCGCCCCUAUGCAGUCUAUGGGGCAGCCCCAGACCCACAUACGCACGCUUACGGGGCAGCCCCACAACUGCUGCUAUGCAAUCUAUGGGGCAGCCCCACAGCUCGAGGUACCCACUUAUGGGGCAGCCCCAGACCCACAUACGCACACUUAUGGGGCAGCCCCACAACUGCAGCUAUGCAAUCUAUGGGGCAGCUCCGGACCCACAUAUGCACACUUAUGGGGCAGCCCCCAAAUCUAUGGGGCAGCCCCGUUUGCACCCCCUGUUGUGCCCCACAACUUCAGCCCCCAAACCUCUGCUCAGCCCCACAGCAGCACCGCCCCUCCGCGCCCCACAGUGCCCCAUAGCGUCAUCCCACCCUGCCCCACUUCUCAGCCUCCCCUGCCCCAUAGCCCCAUCCCCCCUCUGCCCCAUAGCAUCACCACUCUGCUCCACAGCUUCACCCCCCUCUGCCCCAUAGCAACGCCCCACUCUGCCCCACAGUGCCCCCUCUGUGCCCCACAUCAUUGCCAUCCCACCCCAUAGCAUCGCCCCCCUCUGCCCCAUAGAUUCCCCCUCCCGUGCCCCAUAGCAUCACCCUCUCUGCCCCAUAGCAUUCUCCUUCUCUGCCCCAUAGCAUCAGCCUCUCUGCCCCAUAGCAUCACCCCCCCCUCUGCCCCAUAGCAACGCCGCACUCUGCCCCACAGCGCCCCCUCUGUGCCCCACAUCAUUGCCAUCCCACCCCGUAGCAUCAUCCUCUUCUGCCCCAUAGAUUCGCCCCCCCCUGCCCCAUAGAUCCCCCCCCCAUACCAUCACCCCUCUGCUCCAUAGCAUCUCCCUCUCCGCCCCAUAACAUCGCCCCCCUCUGCCCCACAGCAUCACCCUCUCCGCCCCAUAGCAUCGCCCCCCUCUGCCCCACACCAUCACCCCCCUCUGCCCCAUAGCAACGCCCCCCUCUGCCCCACAGCGCCCCCUCUAUGCCCCACAUCAUUGCCAUCCCACCCCAUAGCAUCGCCCCCCUCUGCCCCAUAGAUUCCCCCCCCCGUGCCCCAUAGCAUCACCCCCUCUGCCCCAUAGCAUCCUCCCUCUGUGCCCCAUAGCAUCGUCCCUCUCUGCCCCAUAGCAUCACCCCCCUCUGCCCCAUAGCAACAUCCCCCUCUGCCCCAUAGCAUCACCACCAGCCCCAUAGCAUCGCCCCCUCUGCCCCAUACCAUCACCUCUCUGGCCCACAGCAUCGUCCCUCUCUGCCCCAUAGAAUUGCCCCUUCUCCCCCAUAGCAUCGCCCCCUCUGCCCCACAGUGCCCCCUCUGUGCCCCACAUCAUUGCCAUCCCACCCCAUAGCAUCGCCCCCCUCUGCCCCAUAGAUUCCCCCUCCCGUGCCCCAUAGCAUCACCCUCUCUGCCCCAUAGCAUUCUCCCUCUCUGCCCCAUAGCAUCAGCCUCUCUGCCCCAUAGCAUCACCCCCCUCUGCCCCAUAGCAACGCCCCCCUCUGCCCCUCAGCGCCCCCUCUAUGCCGCACAUCAUUGCCAUCCCACCCCAUAGCAUCACCUCUCCUGCCCCAUAGCAUUGCCCCUCUGCCCCAUAGCAUCACCCCUCUGCCCCAUAGCAUCACUCCCCUCUGCCCCAUAGCAACAUCCCCCUCUGCCCCAUAGCAUCACCACCAGCCCCAUAGCAUCGCCCCCUCUGCCCCAUACCAUCACCUCUCUGGCCCACAGCAUCGUCCCUCUCUGCCUCAUAGAAUUGCCCCUUCUCCCCCAUAGCAUCGCCCCCUCUGCCCCACAGCGCCCCCCUCUGUGCCCCACAUCAUUGCCAUCCCACCCCAUAGCAUCACCCCUUCUGCCCCAUAGCAUUGCCCCCUCUGCCCCAUAGCAUCACCGCCCUCUACCCCAUAGCAUCUCCCUCUCUGCCCCAUAGCAUCGCCCUCCUCUACCCCAUAGCAUUCUCUCUGCCCCACAGCAUCAUCCCCCUCUGCCCCAUAGAUUCCCCCCCUGCCCCAUAGCAUUGCCCUCUCUGCCCCACAGCAUCGCCCUCGUCUGCCCCAUAGCAUUGACCCUCUGCCCCAUAGCAUCACCCCCCUCUGCCCCAUAGCAUCACCCCUCUGCCCCAUAGCAUUGCCCCCUCUGCCCCACAGCAUCGCCCCCCUCUGCCCCAUAGCAACGCCCCCCUCUGCCCCUCAGCGCCCCCUCUAUGCCCCGCAUCAUUGCCAUCCCACCCCAUAGCAUCACCUCUCCUGCCCCAUAGCAUCGUCCCUCUCUGCCCCAUAGCAUCACCCCUCUGACCCACAGCAUCAUCCCCCUCUGCCCCAUAGAAUUGCCCCUUCUCCCCCAUAGCAUCGCCCCCUCUGCCCCACAGUGCCCCCUCUGUGCCCCACAUCAUUGCCAUCCCACCCCAUAGCAUCGCCCCCCUCUGCCCCAUAGAUUCCCCCUCCCGUGCCCCAUAGCAUCACCCUCUCUGCCCCAUAGCAUUCUCCCUCUCUGCCCCAUAGCAUCAGCCUCUCUGCCCCAUAGCAUCACCCCCCUCUGCCCCAUAGCAACGCCCCCCCUCUGCCCCUCAGCGCCCCCUCUAUGCCGCACAUCGUUGCCAUCCCACCCCAUAGCAUCACCUCUCCUGCCCCAUAGCAUUGCCCCUCUGCCCCAUAGCAUCACCCCUCUGCCCCAUAGCAUCACCCCCCUCUGCCCCAUAGCAACAUCCCCCUCUGCCCCAUAGCAUCACGACCAGCCCCAUAGCAUCGCCCCCUCUGCCCCAUACCAUCACCUCUCUGACCCACAGCAUCGUCCCCCUCUGCCCCAUAGAAUUGCCCCUUCUCCCCCAUAGCAUCGCCCCCUCUGCCCCACAGUGCCCCCUCUGUGCCCCACAUCAUUGCCAUCCCACCCCAUAGCAUCGCCCCCCUCUGCCCCAUAGAUUCCCCCUCCCGUGCCCCAUAGCAUCACCCUCUCUGCCCCAUAGCAUUCUCCUUCUCUGCCCCAUAGCAUCAGCCUCUCUGCCCCAUAGCAUCACCCCCCCUCUGCCCCAUAGCAACGCCGCACUCUGCCCCACAGCGCCCCCUCUGUGCCCCACAUCAUUGCCAUCCCACCCCGUAGCAUCAUCCUCUUCUGCCCCAUAGAUUCGCCCCCCCCUGCCCCAUAGAUCCCCCCCCCAUACCAUCACCCCUCUGCUCCAUAGCAUCUCCCUCUCCGCCCCAUAACAUCGCCCCCCUCUGCCCCACAGCAUCACCCUCUCCGCCCCAUAGCAUCGCCCCCCUCUGCCCCACACCAUCACCCCCCUCUGCCCCAUAGCAACGCCCCCCUCUGCCCCACAGCGCCCCCUCUAUGCCCCACAUCAUUGCCAUCCCACCCCAUAGCAUCGCCCCCCUCUGCCCCAUAGAUUCCCCCCCCCGUGCCCCAUAGCAUCACCCCCUCUGCCCCAUAGCAUCCUCCCUCUGUGCCCCAUAGCAUCGUCCCUCUCUGCCCCAUAGCAUCACCCCCCUCUGCCCCAUAGCAACAUCCCCCUCUGCCCCAUAGCAUCACCACCAGCCCCAUAGCAUCGCCCCCUCUGCCCCAUACCAUCACCUCUCUGGCCCACAGCAUCAUCCCCCUCUGCCCCAUAGAAUUGCCCCUUCUCCCCCAUAGCAUCGCCCCCUCUGCCCCACAGUGCCCCCUCUGUGCCCCACAUCAUUGCCAUCCCACCCCAUAGCAUCACCCCCCUCUGCCCCAUAGAUUCCCCCUCCCGUGCCCCAUAGCAUCACCCUCUCUGCCCCAUAGCAUUCUCCCUCUCUGCCCCAUAACAUCAGCCUCUCUGCCCCAUAGCAUCACCCCCCUCUGCCCCAUAGCAACGCCCCCCUCUGCCCCUCAGCGCCCCCUCUAUGCCGCACAUCAUUGCCAUCCCACCCCAUAGCAUCACCUCUCCUGCCCCAUAGCAUUGCCCCUCUGCCCCAUAGCAUCACCCCUCUGCCCCAUAGCAUCACUCCCCUCUGCCCCAUAGCAACAUCCCCCUCUGCCCCAUAGCAUCACCACCAGCCCCAUAGCAUCGCCCCCUCUGCCCCAUACCAUCACCUCUCUGGCCCACAGCAUCGUCCCUCUCUGCCCCAUAGAAUUGCCCCUUCUCCCCCAUAGCAUCGCCCCCUCUACCCCACAGCGCCCCCUCUGUGCCCCACAUCAUUGCCAUCCCACUCCAUAGCAUCGCCCCCCUCUGCCCCAUAGAUUCCCCCCCCGUGCCCCAUAGCAUCACCCCCUUCUGCCCCAUAGAUUCACCCCCCCUCUGCCCCAUAGAUUCCCCCCCCCCUCCCCGUGCCCCACAGCGUUGUCUGCCCCCUCUCUCCCCCCCUCGUGGUGCCGUCCAAUAAACGCUGCUGUGCCCCAUAGCGUCGCUUAUGUUCUUUAUGGGGGGGGACAACGACGACACUGUGGGGACCCACAGAUCCUAUUGGGAUCCCACAGAGAUCCCACAGAGAACCCAUAUAUGCCAGAGGGAUCCCAUAGAGAUCCCAUAGAUCCCAAUGGAUCCCAUAGAGACCCCAUAGAGACGCCAUAGAACCCAACGGAUCUCGCAGAGAUCCCAUAUAGACCCCAUAGAUCCCAAUGAAUCCCAUAGAGACCCCAUAGAACCCAAUGGAUCCCAUAGAGAUCCCAUAGAGACCCCAUAGAUCCCACUGGAUCCCAUAGAGAUCCUAUAGAGACCCCAUAUAACCCAAUGGAUCCCAUAGAGACCUCAUAGAUCCCACUGGAUCCCAUAGAGAUCCCAUAGAGACCCCAUAGAUCCCAAUGGAUCCCACAGAGAUCCCAUAGAGACCUCAUAGAUCCCACUGGAUCCCAUAGAGAUCCCCCAGAGACCCCAUAGAUCCCACUGGAUCCCAUAGAGAUCCCACAGAUAUCCCACAGAGACCCGAUAGAUCCAAAUGGAUCCCAUAGAGACCCCACAGAGACCCCGUGGAUCCCACUGGAUCCCAUAGAAAUCCUAUAGAGACCCCAUAGAACCCAAUGGAUCCCAUAGAGACCCCAUAGAUCCAAAUGGAUCCCAUGCAGAUCCAAUAAAGACCCCAUAGAUCCCAAUGAAUCCUAUAGAGAUCCCAUAGAGACCCCAUAGAACCCAAUGGAUCCCACAGAGAUCCCAUAGAGACCCCAUAGAUCCCAAUGAAUCCCAUAGAGACCCCAUAGAGACGCCAUAGAACCCAGUGGAUCCCACAGAGAUCCCAUAGAG